AUGCUCCCACGGCUCCUGUCACACCGGCUGGCGGGUUGUGGCGGUGCCAGCCAGUGUGUGCGAGUGUGUCUGCGUGCCCGCGCCUGGGCGGACCGACCCGGAGCAGCAGUGCGCCUCGCCCCGGGGAGGCGGCUCCGCACCGGCGCCUUGCCCGCAGCCGCUGCGGGGGGUUCCUCCGGCAAAGGCGCCUGGAGCGCGUGCGGCUCGCGGGGCCCGCGGGUGGCCGGGGCGGCGGGGCCGCGCCGUGCCUUCGCCCUUGGCCGGCGCCCUCGAGAGCCCCAUGCAGCCCCCGCGCUCGCGGCCGCAGCUGCCCAGCUGCCCGGGGCAGGUCGGGGACCAGAGCCGCGCUCCCCAGCNAGGUUCAACAAGUGGCUGCUGACGCCGGUGCUCACUCUCCUCUUCGUGGUCAUCAUGUACCAGUACGUGUCCCCCUCCUGCUCCAGCUCCUGCGCCAACUUCGGGGAGCAGCCCCGCGCCGGAGAGGCCGGCCAGCCGGCCGCCCCGAGUCCCGCCCGCCGGGCACAGGCGCCGCCCGAGGACUGGGAGCGGCGGCCCCAGCUGCCCCCGCCACCCCGGGGGCCGCCCGAGGGGCCUCGGGGGGCCGCGGCGCCGGAGGACGAGGACGAGGAGCCGGGGGACCCCGAGGACGAGGAGGAGGAGGCGGCGGAGGAGGAGGAGGAGGAACCGGACCCCGAGGCCCCCGAGAACGGCUCCUUGCCGCGCUUCGUGCCGCGCUUCAACUUCACCCCGAAGGACCUGACCCGCUUCGUGGAUUUCAACAUCAAGGGGCGCGACGUGAUCGUCUUCCUGCACAUCCAGAAGACCGGGGGCACCACGUUCGGCCGGCACCUGGUGAAGAACAUCCGGCUGGAGCAGCCGUGCAGCUGCAAAGCCGGCCAGAAGAAGUGCACCUGCCACCGGCCCGGCAAGAAGGAGACGUGGCUCUUCUCCCGCUUCUCCACCGGCUGGAGCUGCGGGCUGCACGCCGACUGGACGGAGCUCACCAACUGUGUGCCGGCCAUCAUGGAGAAGAAGGACUGUCCCCGCAACCACAGCCACACCAGGUACUGUCCCCGCGCCGCGGCUCGCUUCCGGCCACCUUCCUCCCCCUCCAGCCCGCCCCCAGUCCCGACCACCCGGCCCCCCAGCCCCGGGCGACCCCGCGCUCCCUCCGCGGCGCCGGGCGGCUGGUUCCCCAGCAUCGUCCCGCGGUGCGGGCAGAGGUUUUGGAAGAGGGAGAAGAAACCUUUGGAAAGUGUCCUGGUCUUGAACUCGCUCCUCCUUCAACUCAUUCUGAAAGCAUUUGUUAAAGGCUUCCUGUGUGCCUGGCAGUGUGCUCAAUGCUAG
Non-coding RNA from Odocoileus virginianus texanus, 1347 nucleotides. The record is from RefSeq and is a predicted model, not a curated record. NCBI's taxonomy places the organism in Eukaryota, Metazoa, Chordata, Mammalia, Artiodactyla, Cervidae.